UACGGGGGGAGCAAGCGUUGUUCGGAUUUACUGGGCGUAAAGGGCGCGUAGGCGGCCACCGCAAGUCGACUGUGAAAUCUCCGGGCUUAACCCGGAAAGGUCAGCCGAUACUGCGGGGCUAGAGUACAGAAGGGGCAACUGGAAUUCUCGGUGUAGCGGUGAAAUGCGUAGAUAUCGAGAGGAACACCUGCGGCGAAGGCGGGUUGCUGGGCUGAUACUGACGCUGAGGCGCGAAAGCCAGGGAGCGAACGGG
Molecule: ribosomal RNA, 253 nt
Filed under: uncultured bacterium
Lineage: Bacteria
Description: partial 16S ribosomal RNA
Rfam family: Bacterial small subunit ribosomal RNA
Source: RNAcentral